This 430-nucleotide long non-coding RNA is filed under the name Monodelphis domestica (gray short-tailed opossum). Its description in RNAcentral is "lncRNA (ENSMODG00000037122.1)". Lineage: Eukaryota; Metazoa; Chordata; Mammalia; Didelphimorphia; Didelphidae. The record is from RNAcentral.
UUUUUUCAGGAACUCAUUGUGUCUUCUUUCUCCCAUCCCAGGUAUUCUUUCCAAAUGGCUAUGUAGUCAAAUUCCCUGAAGAGGAAGUUGACAGUCUGUACAGAGUCCCAGGACUUCCCGGAUCAGGAAACUCUAAAGUCCAUUGUCUCCAUCCCCAUCCUCAUACCUGAAAAUCACUCAUCCCAGCCUUCCAUUUUAUGAGUCCAUCUAAUUAAACUGGGAGCUCUUUGAGAGAAAGAACUGUUUGUUUUUGCCUUUUUUUUUAUCCCCAGACGUUAGCAAAGAGACGGGUGCAUAGCAGGUGCUUCAUAAAUGCUAGUUGACUGAUUGACUCCAUUUCCUUUUCUCUAAUUUCUAGUCAAAGCCCCAAACUCUUAUCUUAACUGACUUCAGCUCCUCAAUCUCUCCUGUCCUUUAGACUAGUGGUGUU